This 303-nucleotide ribosomal RNA is filed under the name uncultured bacterium. RNAcentral's name for it is "partial 16S ribosomal RNA". It matches the Rfam family "Bacterial small subunit ribosomal RNA", at positions 507 to 807 of the family's 1533-position model. The record is from RNAcentral.
AGCAGUCGCCGCGGGAAUACAGAGGGUGCGAGCGUUAAUCGGAUUUACUGGGCGUAAAGCGUGCGUAGGCGGCUUCUUAAGUCGGAUGUGAAAUCCCUGAGCUUAACUUAGGAAUUGCAUUCGAUACUGGGAAGCUAGAGUAUGGGAGAGGAUGGUAGAAUUCCAGGUGUAGCGGUGAAAUGCGUAGAGAUCUGGAGGAAUACCGAUGGCGAAGGCAGCCAUCUGGCCUAAUACUGACGCUGAGGUACGAAAGCAUGGGGAGCAAACAGGAUUAGAGACCCCUGUAGUCCCUGUCUCUUAUAC